Molecule: ribosomal RNA, 263 nt
Filed under: uncultured bacterium
Lineage: Bacteria
Description: partial 16S ribosomal RNA
Rfam family: Bacterial small subunit ribosomal RNA
Source: RNAcentral
UACGUAGGGGGCAAGCGUUAUCCGGAUUUACUGGGUGUAAAGGGAGCGUAGGUGGUGUGGUAAGUCAGAUGUGAAAGCCCGGGGCUCAACUCCGGGAUUGCAUUUGAAACUAUCAUGCUAGAGUGCAGGAGAGGUAAGUGGAAUUCCUAGUGUAGCGGUGAAAUGCGUAGAUAUUAGGAGGAACACCAGUGGCGAAGGCGGCUUACUGGACUGUAACUGACACUGAGGCUCGAAAGCGUGGGGAGCGAACAGGAUUAGAUACC